AAAGUAGUAAGUUAAAAAAACUAGUGCCGUUCAAAGGCAAAAUUGAGUAAUCCUAUUUUU
RNAcentral lists this transfer RNA (60 nucleotides) under Anaticola crassicornis (slender duck louse). RNAcentral's name for it is "tRNA-Trp". Lineage: Eukaryota; Metazoa; Arthropoda; Insecta; Psocodea; Philopteridae. The record is from RNAcentral.